This 448-nucleotide ribosomal RNA is filed under the name uncultured bacterium. RNAcentral describes it as "bacterial SSU rRNA". It matches the Rfam family "Bacterial small subunit ribosomal RNA", at positions 355 to 796 of the family's 1533-position model. The record is from RNAcentral.
UCGAGAAUUUUUCUCAAUGGGCGAAAGCCUGAAGGAGCGACGCCGCGUGGGGGAUGAAGGGCUUCGGCCCGUAAACCCCUGUCAUUUGCGAACAAACCUUUCCGUUGAAUAGGCGGAAAGCUGAUUGUAGCGAAAGAGGAAGGGACGGCUAACUCUGUGCCAGCAGCCGCGGUAAUACAGAGGUCCCAAGCGUUGUUCGGAUUCACUGGGCGUAAAGGGUGCGUAGGUGGCGAGGUAAGUUCGAUGUGAAAUCUCCGGGCUCAACCCGGAAAUGGCAUUGAAUACUCUCUCGCUAGAGGGUUGGAGGGGAGACUGGAAUUCUCGGUGUAGCAGUGAAAUGCGUAGAUAUCGAGAGGAACACCAGUGGCGAAGGCGAGUCUCUGGACAACACCUGACACUAAGGCACGAAAGCUAGGGGAGCAAACAGGAUUAGAUACCCCCGUAGUCC